AUGGAGGGCAAGCGCACCGACCAGGCAAAGCUCAGCACGAUGCACCCAAAGGUUAUCUGCUGCAAGCUCUACAUCUCUGAAAGCCAAAAUGGGGCUGUUGUCGAUUCCAUCAGCCGCAUAGGCCAGAAAGACCCUGAGGUGGUUUUGCUCAGCAAGUUCGAGGACGAGUACUACAACCGUGUCCGCUACACGCUCGUCUCCUACAUCACCAGCGAAAGCUCAACCGGUGAAGCUGUAUUUAGCCCAAUCAGGAAGGUGUUGCUGGCGAUGAUCGAGGCUGCAUUUUCAGCCAUAAAUCUCGAAGUGCACAGUGGAACUCAUCCAAGGAUUGGUGUCGUCGAUGACAUGUCGUUCCAUCCCCUGAGUCAAGCAGCCACCAUGGAGGAUGCUGCACAGCUGGCUAAGCUGGUGGCCUCUGACAUUGGAAAUGGCUUGCAAGUUCCGGUGUUCCUCUACGCGGCAGCACACCCCACCAGCAAGAGCGUCAGUGCAAUACGGCGUGAGCUCGGCUACUACCGACCAAAUCACAAGGGUGUCCAAUGGGCAGGCCAGGUGCUCCCUGAUACUCUACCAGUGAAGCCGGAUGUGGGCCCAGCUCAGGUUUCUCGUGAGAGAGGAGCCACCAUGGUCGGAGCUAAACCUUUCGUCGAGAGCUACAAUGUGCCAAUAUUCUGCAAGGAUCUCCCGACCGUGAGAAGGAUCACCCAAAGGGUGACCGGACGGAGCGGAGGGUUCCCGACGGUGCAGGCGCUUGCUCUCUUCCAUGGAGACAAUUGCAUGGAGAUCGCGUGCCUGCUGGACCCAGAUCAUGUCGGAGCCGAUCAGGUUCAGUGGCUGGUGGAGCAGAUUGCAGAAGAGCAAGGGCUUGAGGUCGACAAGGGUUACUUCACCGACCUGUCCAAGGACAUGAUGCUGGAAAGGUACUUCGAGAUUGUUUCUGCAGCAGAUUGA
Molecule: ribosomal RNA, 951 nt
Filed under: Triticum aestivum (bread wheat)
Lineage: Eukaryota; Viridiplantae; Streptophyta; Magnoliopsida; Poales; Poaceae
Description: partial small subunit ribosomal RNA
Source: RNAcentral